This 800-nucleotide ribosomal RNA is filed under the name uncultured fungus. RNAcentral's name for it is "eukaryotic LSU rRNA". It matches the Rfam family "Eukaryotic large subunit ribosomal RNA", at positions 1 to 848 of the family's 3401-position model. The record is from RNAcentral. Lineage: Eukaryota; Fungi.
GAUCGGACCUCCAAUCAGGCAAGAGUACCCGCUGAAUUUAAGCAUAUAACUAAGCGGAGGAAAAGAAACUAACCAGGAUUCCCCUAGUAACUGCGAGUGAAGCGGGAAGAGCUCAGACUGAAAAUCUUCGGAGUUGUAGUCUGUCGAGGUCAAGUCAGUCGGCGCGUUCGAGCGAAGUGUGGUUGAAUCCACUGCCGAGGAGGGUGAAAGCCCCGUACGUGCUUGAAUGUCGCUGAUGUACGACUGGCCUUCUACGAGUCGAGUUGUUUGGGAUUGCAGCUCUAAGCGGGUGGUAAAUUCCAUCUAAAGCUAAAUAUGGGUGGGAGACCGAUAGCGAACAAGUACCGUGAGGGAAAGAUGAAAAGAACUUUGAAAAGAGAGUUAAAAAGUACCUGAAAUUGCUGAAAAGGAAUCGAAAGGAGGCAGUGUUGGUCGGCCGUCAUCUCCGGGCUCUGCGUGCAGGGUUCGUCGUGGCGGCGGACAAGUCAGGCUUGCUUGUGUGUGCGGGAGAGGGUCACCGGGCCUUGUGCUGGUGUUUCCUGCCGUGCGUGCGAGCGACCUCUGACGAAAUGCCUCUUUUCAUCCCGUCUUGAAACACGGACCAAGGAGUCUAACAUGUGUGCGAGUACUCGGAGUUUGACCUCCCAGCGCGCAAUUAACGUAAAGAUAGAGCUUGCUCUAUUGCGGUAGGAAGGCUCGAGCCUGCACUAUCGACCGACCUUGAUCCUCCGGGUGAAGGGUUUGAGUGUGAGCAUACCUGUUGGGACCCGAAAGAUGGUGAACUAUGCCUGAGUAGGACG